RNAcentral lists this ribosomal RNA (253 nucleotides) under uncultured bacterium. RNAcentral describes it as "partial 16S ribosomal RNA". It matches the Rfam family "Bacterial small subunit ribosomal RNA", at positions 524 to 776 of the family's 1533-position model. The record is from RNAcentral.
UACGAAGGUGGCUAGCGUUGUUCGGAUUUAUUGGGCGUAAAGGGUCCGCAGGCGGUUUAAUAAGUCAGAUGUGAAAUCCCACAGCUCAACUGUGGACACGCGUUUGAAACUAUUAGACUAGAGUAUGAGAGGGGUGAGAGGAAUUUCCAGUGUAGGGGUGAAAUCCGUAGAUAUUCGGAGGAACACCAGUGGCGAAGGCGGCUCACUGGCUCGGUACUGACGCUGAGGUGCGAAAGCGUGGGGAGCAAACAGG